AUUGAACGCUGGCGGCAGGCCUAACACAUGCAAGUCGAGCGGAUGAAGGGAGCUUGCUCCUGGAUUCAGCGGCGGACGGGUGAGUAAUGCCUAUGAAUCUGCCUGGUAGUGGGGGAUAACGUCCUGAAACGGGCGCUAAUACCGCAUACGUCCUGAGGGAGAAAGUGGGGGAGCUUCGGACCUCACGCUAUCAGAUGAGCCUAGGUCGGAUUAGCUAGUUGGUGGGGUAAAGGCCUACCAAGCCGACGAUCCGUAACUGGUCUGAGAGGAUGAUCAGUCACACUGGAACUGAGACACGGUCCAGACUACUACGGGAGGCAGCAGUGGGGAAUAUUGGACAAUGGGCGAAAGCCUGAUCCAGCCAUGCCGCGUGUGUGAAGAAGGUCUUCGGAUUGUAAAGCACUUUAAGUUGGGAGGAAGGGCAGUAAGUUAAUACCUUGCUGUUUUGACGUUACCAACAGAAUAAGCACCGGCUAACUUCGUG
This 484-nucleotide ribosomal RNA is filed under the name uncultured bacterium. RNAcentral describes it as "partial 16S ribosomal RNA". It matches the Rfam family "Bacterial small subunit ribosomal RNA", at positions 30 to 507 of the family's 1533-position model. The record is from RNAcentral.